UACGUAGGUGGCAAGCGUUGUCCGGAGUUAUUGGGCGUAAAGCGCGCGCAGGCGGUGCGGGUAAGUCUCUGGUGAAAGCGCUCGGCUUAACUGGGCGAGGGCCGGGGAGACUGCCACGCUGGAGGGGAGCAGAGGCGAGUGGAAUUCCGGGUGUAGUGGUGAAAUGCGUAGAGAUCCGGAGGAACACCAGUGGCGAAGGCGGCUCGCUGGGGCUCUACCUGACGCUGAGGCGCGAAAGCGUGGGGGAGCGAACCGG
RNAcentral lists this ribosomal RNA (256 nucleotides) under uncultured bacterium. RNAcentral describes it as "partial 16S ribosomal RNA". It matches the Rfam family "Bacterial small subunit ribosomal RNA", at positions 524 to 776 of the family's 1533-position model. The record is from RNAcentral.